Molecule: long non-coding RNA, 1981 nt
Organism: Oreochromis aureus
Lineage: Eukaryota; Metazoa; Chordata; Actinopteri; Cichliformes; Cichlidae
Source: Ensembl
AGAAGAUCAUAAGAACACACACUGUCAGCAUGUAUGAUUACACAGCAGCACUGCUACUACACAUUACUACAGGACUACUGGUACACAUUCACAAAAAUAAGCAUAAAACAUGAACAGAUGCAUAAUUCUAUGCACAGAGUUAUACAGUUACCCUCUCUCCCACUACUGGAUUUAAGGCUGCACUUCCAGUGAUGUUUAGCUCAGCCAUUACCUGUGACCUCUGCUCCUUCAGAUACAACAUGAAGGCGUUUGGUUGUUUUUUAGUAUACGCCCAGUCUUCAUCCUGCUGGGAUUGUCGGCUUCUUUUUCUACAGGAAUAAAACACAGAGUAAACGCAUGUGUUACCUCUGUGUACAACUGUGAGGAAAGCAGUUUAAUAACAUGAGUAAAGCUGUAAACCUGAAUGAAAGGAGGCACCAUUGAAGAGGCUGAUUAGCGAUAGAUCAGGUGACGGUACUAGAGACAGAGCUACUGAGUGUAGUGAUAUUUGUUGAGGAAGUUGAGCAGGUGCUUGAGCGGCUAGCUGAGCUGCAGGUGCUUGAGCGGCUAGCUGAGUUGGUUGUACUGUGGGUUUUGUUGGUUUUUUUUGUUUUCGGGUCGUCGGGAGCCGACUCUUAGAGGGGGGGGUACUGUCACGGACCCGGCUCUGGGGACUCGGGAUCCAUAAGCAGUGGGGACUAUGAUUGUUGUUGUUGUUAUUAUUAUUAUUAUUAUUAUUAUUAUUAAUAUUAUCAUCAUUUGGUGUGUCGUCUGCACUGCCUCUGGUCUCUGUCCGCAUCUGUAUGUAGGCAGAUAUAUGUGUGUGUGUUGCUGUUUUCUGUGGCCAAGUUACAGGCACCUUCAGGCCUGAGGGGCGUGGCCUGGCUUGAGGACUGGCCACACCCGAAGUCCUAGCCACACACCUGCUCCUCAUCUGGGCUCGUUGAGGGAGCUAUUUAGAAGAGCCAUGGAGCUUCCACCGACGUGGGAUUAUUGCGUUUGACGACAUGAGGAAUGCGGGUCCGAGAGCAGUGAGCACGGGGAAUGCAGAGACACAGGAGCAGAGAGCACUACACUGGGACUUUUUGGGAAGAAGACAUGACACGGGAGUCACGGGAGAGCACGGGGAUUAACUGUUAUUGUUUCCUGCACUGUAAAUAAACGCACCGUUGCAGUGAAGAGUCCUGCAUUUUGGGUCCUGUCUUCCCCGCAGACCGUGACAUAUCCAACUAAUGACAUGUCACAAAGCUCAAAUCAUCUCAAACUGGUUAAAACAAGCUUUAAAAAAUGUGUCAUUUUAAAGUGUUCUCCACAUGAAUGUACAAAAGAGUUGUUUAAUAAAUGAUAAAGACUUAUCCAGUGGUUAUAAAAUGGAGCAACAUUUGCAUAAUAACAACAGAUUCCAAUGAAAUCAAUAACACUGCUGACUGAAAUGUUAGAUGUGCACUUGAAGCCAUUUAUAAAUCGUAACUCUUUGAUCGGCUCCUCUCCACAAAAAAGCACAAGCAUACAUUUUGGGGCAUUGAACUGUAUUUUUAACCUUAUGGCAAAUCACACUAUACAAAUUAAUUAAGCAAUAAACAAUUAAAUGACAGAAAAGUUUGUUUUCCAUUUUCUGAAAGGGGAGUUUCACUGGUCUGACUCAAUUAAGAGAAAAGUGGGCGGUAUGUCACCUACAAUGUAAAAUGUGUUGAAACUCUGGUAAAUACUGAGGCACAUGCUUUUUGUUUUUGAUGUAAGUCAUGCGCCCAGGUUUGGAAAUUCCUUCACACUGUCAUCUAUCCCAGGAAUAGAUGGAUCCCAGGAAAUGAGUCAAAUAUGAUCAAAUUAACGAGGGCUCAUUUAGCUAUGAUGGAAGUGUAAACUGUUGCAUAAAAUGAUCUGAGUACUUAAAAAUUAUCAUCAUCUGUUUUUUGUUUUUUUUAAUGUUAAGAGUUUUUACAUGUAAUUUCUUCUAAAACAGAGCCGAUGUUCUGAAAAAACACCCUACAUAUUAAGCUGU